UCAGUCGACUCCUACGGGAGGGCAGCAGUGGGAAGUAUUGCACAAUGGGGAAACCCGUACGAUGCAGCCAUGCCGCGUGUGUGAAGAAGGCCUUCGGGUUGUAAAGCACUUUCAGUAGGGAGGAAGGUAGUGUAGUUAACACCUGCAUUAUUUGACGUUACCUACAGAAGAAGCACCGGCUAACUCCGUGCCAGCAGCCGCGGUAAUACGGAGGGUGCGAGCGUUAAUCGGAAUUACUGGGCGUAAAGCGCAUGCAGGCGGCCUGUUAAGUCAGAUGUGAAAGCCCGGGGCUUAACCUCGGAAUUGCAUUUGAAACUGGCAGGCUAGAGUCUUGUAGAGGGGGGUAGGAAUUUCAGGUGUAGCGGUGAAAUGCGUAGAGAUCUGAAGGAAUACCAGUGGCGAAGGCGGCCCCCUGGACAAAGACUGACGCUCAGAUGCGAAAGCGUGGGGAGCAAACAGGAUUAGAUACCCUGGUAG
This 477-nucleotide ribosomal RNA is filed under the name uncultured bacterium. RNAcentral describes it as "bacterial SSU rRNA". It matches the Rfam family "Bacterial small subunit ribosomal RNA", at positions 328 to 793 of the family's 1533-position model. The record is from RNAcentral.